RNAcentral lists this transfer RNA (82 nucleotides) under Perkinsus olseni. It matches the Rfam family "tRNA". From Rfam's summary of the family: Transfer RNA (tRNA) molecules are approximately 80 nucleotides in length. Lineage: Eukaryota; Perkinsozoa; Perkinsida; Perkinsidae. The record is from Rfam by way of RNAcentral.
GACAGCGUGUCCGAGUGAUUAAGGAGGUAGACUUGAAAUCCACUGGGCUCAGCCCGCGCGGGUUCGAAUCCUGCCGUUGUCG